AAUUUGAAAAUGAUUGUGGCCGUGAUGGUCCGAGAAUGUAAAGCCUUAGAGUGAUAAUCCUGUUCCACUCAAUGUAAGCCAAUAACAGCAAUGAUUUGCAUUUGUGUGGACCGUUUUAGAUAUUCAUCAAACUAAAAUGUUUCAAACAUUGGUGAAAAAAGUUUAUUUUACAUUGAAUAUCUUAAAGAAGGUUAGAGAGGUUUAAGGAGGCAAUUCCGGAUCUUGUUGGCUCACCAGCUGAAAAUGGUGAAUGCUGUGUUGCGUGGGGUUUCGGAAAACGUUUGUAGCAAGUGAAGAUUACCUACAUUGUGGAAAUAGGCCCUUCGGCCCUGCAAGUCUACACAGCCCCUUGAAGCAUCCCACUCAGACCCAUCCCCCUGUAACCCACACACCCCUGAACACUACAGGCAAUUUAGCAUAGCCAAUCCACCUACCUGCGCAGCUUAGGACUGAGGGAGGAAACCAGAGCACACCCACACAGACACAGGGAGAAUGUGCAAACUCCACACAGACAUUUGCCGGAGGCUGGAAUCGAACCUGUGUCCCUGGUGCUGUAAGGCUGCAGUUCUAGCCACUGAGCCACCAUGCUGCCCUAGAUCUUAAGACUGGAAGAGUUUAGAGGAACUGUAACAGACAGUACCACAGCUGUACAAGAGGUGUCUGCUGUUGGAAACAAUGUAAUGAAUACUGUUCGGAGGACAGAGCCUGAUUAAAGUCGUAGCAGCUGAAGGUGUGUGGGCUGAAGACACUACGCCGCAGAAUUCUUGCAGUGAUAUCCAGGCGCUGAGACGAUUGCACUCCAAUGCUGUCAGGCUUGCUGACUAUUCCAGCAACUUUUGUUUUUGCUCCUGAUACACACCAUCCAAAAUUCUUCAGGAGGAGUUCGAUAUAGUUCUGAGGGCCAAAGAGAUAAAAUGAUGUGGGGUCCCUGAGCUGGAUGAUCAGCCGUGAUUAAUUUGAAGAUCAGAACAGGCAAGAAAGGAUGAGUGGACGAUUCUUACUCCAAUUUUUGAAGUUUCCACCAUUACCAGAGAAAUGGAAAGGAGUGACGAGGAUAAAGUGAGAGCCAGGAAUAACAGCACAAUGUAUAAAUCACUGCGAAUGGAGGAAUGGGAUAAAGA
This is a long non-coding RNA of Stegostoma tigrinum, 1121 nucleotides long. RefSeq lists it as uncharacterized. Lineage: Eukaryota; Metazoa; Chordata; Chondrichthyes; Orectolobiformes; Stegostomatidae. The record is from RefSeq and is a predicted model, not a curated record. The transcript is spliced from 4 exons.